AGGGCGUAGGGUGAAUACCUUGGCAUCAAGAGCCGAUGAAGGACGUGAUAAGCUGCGAUAAGCUAUGGGUAGGAGCAAAUAUCCACUAAUCCAUAGAUCUCCGAAUGAGGAAACUCAACUAGUAACAAUAUACUAGUUAUCCAUACAUGAGUAAAGUAGUGUAUGAGAAGGGAACGUGGGGAACUGAAACAUCUUAGUACCCACAGGAAAAGAAAGAAAAUAUUCGAUUCCUAGAGUAGUGGCGAGCGAAAUAGGAAGAGCCCAAACUGUAAGUAGUAAUACAUACAGGGUUCGGACUGCAUAAUCGAUUUAAUGAGUUUAGUAGAAGUGUUUUGGAAAAGCACACCAUAGAUGGUGAAAGUCCAGUAUGCGAAAAGCGAGUUAACGAGGCAGUAUCCAGAGUAGCACGAGGCACGUGGAAUCUCGUGUGAAUGUGUGGGGACCAUCCCAUAAGGCUAAAUACUACUUGAUGACCGAUAGUGAACGAGUACCGUGAGGGAAAGGUGAAAAGAACCCCGGGAGGGGAGUGAAAUAGAAUUUGAAACCCUAUGUUUACAAGCAGACAAAGCACGUUAAGGUGCGAUGUCGUACUUUUUGUAGAACGGUCCAGCGAGUUAUUGUAUAUGGCAAGGUUAAAUACUAAGUAAGGUAUGGAGCCGAAGCGAAAGCGAGUGUUAAUAGCGCGUUUAAGUCAUAUGUAAUAGACCCGAAACCGAGUGACCUAUCCAUGGUCAGGAUGAAGCUAGAGUAAAAUCUAGUGGAGGUCCGAACUGAUUGUCGUUAAAAAGGCACCGGAUGAACUGUGGAUAGCGGAGAAAUUCCAAUCGAACUCGGAGAUAGCUGGUUCUCCUCGAAAUAGUUUUAGGACUAGCCUUGUUAAGUAGUAUAUGGGGGUAGAGCACUGAAGGAGCUAGGGGCCAAACCAGGUUACUGAACUCUAUCAAACUCCGAAUACCAUAUACGUAAAAACAGGAGUCAGACUGCGGGAGCUAAGUUCCGUGGUCAAAAGGGAAAGAGCCCAGAUCGUCAAUUAAGGUCCCAAAGAUAUAGCUAAGUGGAAAACGAUGUGAUUUUGCGUAAACAACCAGGAUGUUGGCUCAGAAGCAGCCACUCAUUCAAAGAGUGCGUAACAGCUCACUGGUCGAGUGAAAUUGCGCGGAAAAUUACCGGGGCUAAGCUAUACACCGAAAUUGCGGAUUCAAGGAUUUAUCCUUGAGUGGUAGAGGAGCAUUCUGUUGUAGGUUGAAGUAUGACCGUAAGGACAUGUGGACGAAGCAGAAGAGAGAAUGCUGGAAUAAGUAGCGAGAGCAAGGUGAGAAUCCUUGCCGUCGAAAGUCUAAGGUUUCCUGGGGAAGGUUCGUCCGCCCAGGGUUAGUCGGGACCUAAGGAGAGGCCGAGAGGCGUAUCUGAUGGACAGCAGGUUGAUAUUCCUGCACUAUAGAUAUACUUAAAAGAUGCAAGGGACGCAGAAGUGGAAGGAAUGCGAGGAAGAGGAAAAACUCGUAUCGAAAGAUAUAGUGAAAAUAAAGUAACGAAUUUCCAAGAAGCACGCUGACGAGAAAAGCUUGUAGAUAUUGUAUAUAAAUACCCGUACCGCAAACCGACACAGGUAGAUGAGGAGAGGAUCCUAAGACGAGCGGGAGAAGCAUUGUUAAGGAACUCGGCAAAUUGACCCCGUAACUUCGGAAUAAGGGGUGCCUAUGUAAAAGUAGGCCGCAGAGAAUAGGCCCAAGCAACUGUUUAACAAAAACACAGGUUUCUGCUAAAUCGAAAGAUGAAGUAUAGGAGCUGACGCCUGCCCAGUGCUGGAAGGUUAAGGGGAAGAGUUAAGACUUGAUCUGAAGCUUAGAACCAAAGCCCCAGUGAACGGCGGCCGUAACUAUAACGGUCCUAAGGUAGCGAAAUUCCUUGUCAGGUAAGUUCUGACCCGCACGAAAAGUGUAAUGAUCUGGGAACUGUCUCAACCAUAGACUCGGUGAAAUCUUAAUACCUGUGAAAAUGCAGGUUACCCGCGACAGGACGGAAAGACCCCAUGGAGCUUUACUGUAGCUUGAUAUUGGAUCUCGAUGUGUUAUGUAGAGGAUAGGUGGGAGACUAUGAUGUUAGGACGCUAGUUCUAACGGAGUCAACCUUGGAAUACCACCCUUAGCAUGUUGAGAUUCUAACCUCGACCCAUUAUCUGGGUCAGGGACAGUGUCUGGUGGGCAGUUUGACUGGGGCGGUCGCCUCCCAAAAAGUAACGGAGGCGCUCAAAGGUUCCCUCAGAAUGGUUGGAAAUCAUUCGAAGAGCGUAAUGGUAUAAGGGAGCUUUACUGCGAGACCUACAAGUCAAGCAGUUACGAAAGUAGGACAUAGUGGGCCGGCGAUUCAGAAUGGAAUGGUCGUCGCUUAACGGAUAAAAGUUACCCUGGGGAUAACAGGCUGAUACCACCCAAUAGUUCACAUAGACGGUGGUGAUUGGCACCUCGAUGUCGGCUCGUCACAUCCUGGAGCUGGAUUCGGUUCCAAGGGUUGGGCUGUUCGCCCAUUAAAGUGGCACGCGAGCUGGGUUCAGAACGUCGUGAGACAGUUCGGUCCCUAUCUGUUGUGGGCGCAGGAAAUUUGCGAGGCUCUGACACUAGUACGAGAGGACCGUGUUGGACCGGCCGCUGGUUUAUCAGUUGUUCCGCCAGGAGCACUGCUGAGUAGCUAAGCCGGGAUUGGAUAAGUGCUGAAAGCAUCUAAGUACGAAGCCAGCCUCAAGAUAAGAUUUCCCUAGAGGGUCGUUGCAGACGACGACGUAGAUAGGUUGCAGGUGUAAAGGCAGUAAUGCCAAAGCCGAGCAAAACUAAUCACCCGAGACUUUCUGUA
RNAcentral lists this ribosomal RNA (2850 nucleotides) under human gut metagenome. RNAcentral's name for it is "bacterial LSU rRNA". It matches the Rfam family "Bacterial large subunit ribosomal RNA". The record is from RNAcentral.